UGGGCGUAAAGAGCAUGUAGGCGGUGUUUUAAGUUUGGAGUGAAAAUGCGGGGCGCAACCCCGGAUGGCUCUGGAUACUGGAAGACAUGAGUGCAGGAGGGGAAAGGGGAAUUCCCAGUGUAGCGGUGAAAUGCGUAGAUAUUGGGAGGAACACCAGUGGCGAAGGCGCCUUUCUGGACUGUGUCUGACGCUGAGAUGCGAAAGCCAGGGUAGCGA
Molecule: ribosomal RNA, 216 nt
Filed under: uncultured bacterium
Lineage: Bacteria
Description: partial 16S ribosomal RNA
Rfam family: Bacterial small subunit ribosomal RNA
Source: RNAcentral